Boleophthalmus pectinirostris (great blue-spotted mudskipper) is the source of this 603-nucleotide long non-coding RNA. RefSeq lists it as uncharacterized. Lineage: Eukaryota; Metazoa; Chordata; Actinopteri; Gobiiformes; Gobiidae. The record is from RefSeq and is a predicted model, not a curated record. The transcript is spliced from 4 exons.
GCUAGUGGCAAGUUCAUUGAUCAGAAUCGAAAUGAUCAUUUUUACUAUUAUUAUAUCUGUACUUCAAAGAAUAAUUAUUGCACGCAUAAUUGACCUUUGACCAUGUAUUUCAUAAUACUAAAUAUUUGGACAAUAAUCAGUUUGGGUUUGACACUUCAGUUUAGAGAGAAAAGUGAGGACCAUGGAGACAAAAGAGAUGCCGGUGCUGCGGUGCGGAGGGCCAUUCUCAUUACAUCGUCCACUAAGCCAGGCUUUAGUGUGGAUUUGGACACCUGUGGAUAGGUCACAUGUCUACGCGCCCUCUACAGUUCAAUCCCUCAGUGUAGCCGACACAAGUUGGUGGCAGUCCAAGUCUCCCCGAAGCUCCAGGGGUCCCGGGAUCCUGAGGCCGGUUUUGGGGUUCACACACCAGCACUUUCCUCUCUGGCCAUCGCGAGCAGGGUGGCACUAAAGCAGGGCACAUAAAAGAAGGUGUACUAUGUAGCUUUUCUGUUGGAGGGUCCACCAUCUACUUAUCAUCAUGGACAUCUUAAUAUUCCAAUGGCAAGUAUCUAUGUUAUAAAAGAUGUAUAAAAAUGUCAAUAUAUAAUGGACAACAUAGAG